RNAcentral lists this long non-coding RNA (934 nucleotides) under Crocodylus porosus (Australian saltwater crocodile). Its description in RNAcentral is "lncRNA (ENSCPRG00005016946.1)". Lineage: Eukaryota; Metazoa; Chordata; Crocodylia; Crocodylidae. The record is from RNAcentral.
CUGGUUUGGGUUCUCAGUAUGAAAUAAGGCUAAAUUACAGAAUUAACACAGGGGAUUCAAAUUAUAGGCUACACUUAAAGGCUGUUUCUGGAUAGAAAGUUGGUGCAACUGGCCCCAUGGGGAUUCUCCAUGUGAGCUCAGAGGGAUAUUCUGUUGUCAGAGCCAGGGACUAGACUAGCAGAUGACAGAAAAACUGAACCUCUUCAUACUGAGGAAGCCUGGCUUGACAAACUCUUGGAUCUGGGGAGAAUCACAGAAGUGCAUGAGUACUAGUGUCGUUUAUGCAAACGUUAGAGCAGGGGUCGGCAGCACUUUUGGCCAAGCACCAAAAACCCUGGAGUCUGGACUUCAAAGAUGUUGGCUUGCCAGGGAGGGACAGUGGAGAAGCCACAAGGGGCCCAUCUUUGUCCUGGCAGUGCACCCCCAGCCCUUCUCUGCUAUGCUCCCUGAAGUGCACAUGUAGCUGCUGCUAGUAACGAGCUGGGCCAGGGCUCCAGAUCCUGGUACAGCCACUUGCAGCCUCCCUGCCACCUGCUGCAGGCAGCCUAGGCUCUGUGGCUGGCAACAACUGCCCAGAGCUCAGACCAGCAGUGGGAUGCCAAGCAAUAUGGCCUCAUGUGACACACAUGCUGGGUUGCCAACCCCUGCAUUAGAGGAACCAUGGAUUCCAGGGACAAAAUGACUGACUAGAUGUUCUAGCUUGUGAAUAUUCCAUGAAAACAUGGAGAACCAGAACCUGUCCACCAGAACUUCCUGCCUUUCCACCUCUCCCUGCUGAAUUUUGUGUUUCAGGGUGAAGCUUUAGCUGAUUGGAAAUGUCUACGUGUCAUGCAGGACAAGAGGAUUUCAGUACAACUUUUAGAUAUAUUGAAAAACAAUGACAUAACAUGAUACUGGUUAAGAAUAGGCCUGAACUGGAAUAACUAGAUCUAAA